Molecule: transfer RNA, 75 nt
Filed under: Oscillospiraceae bacterium
Lineage: Bacteria; Bacillati; Bacillota; Clostridia; Eubacteriales; Oscillospiraceae
Description: tRNA-Arg
Rfam family: tRNA
About the family: Transfer RNA (tRNA) molecules are approximately 80 nucleotides in length. Their secondary structure includes four short double-helical elements and three loops (D, anti-codon, and T loops). Further hydrogen bonds mediate the characteristic L-shaped molecular structure. tRNAs have two regions of fundamental functional importance: the anti-codon, which is responsible for specific mRNA codon recognition, and the 3' end, to which the tRNAs corresponding amino acid is attached (by aminoacyl-tRNA synthetases). tRNAs cope with the degeneracy of the genetic code in two manners: having more than one tRNA (with a specific anti-codon) for a particular amino acid; and 'wobble' base-pairing, i.e. permitting non-standard base-pairing at the 3rd anti-codon position.
Source: RNAcentral
GCCCCCGUAGUUCAAUGGACAGAACAAGUCUCUCCUAAAGAUUAGAUGUCGGUUCGAUUCCGGCCGGGGGCGCCA